RNAcentral lists this ribosomal RNA (486 nucleotides) under uncultured bacterium. Its description in RNAcentral is "bacterial SSU rRNA". It matches the Rfam family "Bacterial small subunit ribosomal RNA", at positions 26 to 507 of the family's 1533-position model. The record is from RNAcentral.
CGAGGACGAACGCUGGCGGCGUGCCUAACACAUGCAAGUCGAACGAAGCGUAAGAAUGGAUCCCUUCGGGGUGAAGCUCUUAUGACUUAGUGGCGGACGGGUGAGUAACGCGUGAGUAACCUGCCUUUCAGAGGGGGAUAACAGUUGGAAACGACUGCUAAUACCGCAUAACGUAUUUGAAUCGCAUGAUUCGGAUACCAAAGCUGAGGCGCUGAAAGAUGGACUCGCGUCUGAUUAGAUAGUUGGUGGGGUAACGGCCUACCAAGUCGACGAUCAGUAGCCGGACUGAGAGGUUGAUCGGCCACAUUGGGACUGAGACACGGCCCAGACUCCUACGGGAGGCAGCAGUGGGGAAUAUUGCACAAUGGGCGAAAGCCUGAUGCAGCAACGCCGCGUGAGGGAAGACGGUCUUCGGAUUGUAAACCUCUGUCUUUGGUGAAGAAGAAAGUGACGGUAACCAAGGAGGAAGCCACGGCUAACUACGUG